AACGCGAAGAACCUUACCAGCCCUUGACAUGCCUCGUAUGGGGUGGGGAGACCCAUUCCUUCAGUUCGGCUGGCGGGGACACAGGUGCUGCAUGGCUGUCGUCAGCUCGUGUCGUGAGAUGUUGGGUUAAGUCCCGCAACGAGCGCAACCCCCAUCUUCAGUUGCCAGCGGUUCGGCCGGGCACUCUGAAGAAACUGCCGGUGACAAGCCGGAGGAAGGCGGGGAUGACGUCAAGUCCUCAUGGCCCUUAUGGGCUGGGCUACACACGUGCUACAAUGGCGGUGACAGAGGGAGGCAAGGCAGCGAUGCUGCGCCAAUCUCAAAAAGCCGUCUCAGUUCGGAUUGCUCGCUGCAACUCGCGAGCAUGAAGUCGGAAUCGCUAGUAAUCGCGGAUCAGCACGCCGCGGUGAAUACGUUCCCGGGUCUUGUCCACCAGG
This 437-nucleotide ribosomal RNA is filed under the name uncultured bacterium. RNAcentral describes it as "bacterial SSU rRNA". It matches the Rfam family "Bacterial small subunit ribosomal RNA", at positions 958 to 1387 of the family's 1533-position model. The record is from RNAcentral.